This 520-nucleotide ribosomal RNA is filed under the name uncultured Glomus. Its description in RNAcentral is "SSU rRNA". It matches the Rfam family "Eukaryotic small subunit ribosomal RNA", at positions 569 to 1094 of the family's 1831-position model. Lineage: Eukaryota; Fungi; Glomeromycota; Glomeromycetes; Glomerales; Glomeraceae. The record is from RNAcentral.
AGCAGCCGCGGUAAUUCCAGCUCCAAUAGCGUAUAUUAAAGUUGUUGCAGUUAAAAAGCUCGUAGUUGAAUUUCGAGAUCAAUAUGUUGGUCGUGCCUCGGUACGUACUUGCAUAAUUGAUUUCUCCCUUCUGAUGAACCAUGAUGCCAUUAAUUUGGUGUUGUGGGGAAUCAGGACUGUUACUUUGAAAAAAUUAGAGUGUUUAAAGCAGGCUCACGCUUGAAUACAUUAGCAUGGAAUAAUGAAAUAGGACGUUUGAUUCUAUUUUGUUGGUUUCUAGGAUCGACGUAAUGAUUAAUAGGGAUAGUUGGGGGCGUCCGUAUUCAAUUGUCAGAGGUGAAAUUCUUGGAUUUAUUGAAGACGAACUACUGCGAAAGCAUUCGCCAAGGAUGUUUUCAUUAAUCAGUGAACGAAAGUUAGGGGAUCGAAGACGAUCAGAUACCGUCGUAGUCUUAACCAUAAACUAUGCCGACUAGGGAUCGGACGGUGGUUUUUUAUGCCCCGUUCGGCACCUUACGGG